This 374-nucleotide ribosomal RNA is filed under the name uncultured bacterium. RNAcentral's name for it is "bacterial SSU rRNA". It matches the Rfam family "Bacterial small subunit ribosomal RNA", at positions 524 to 898 of the family's 1533-position model. The record is from RNAcentral.
UACGUAGGGUGCGAGCGUUAAUCGGAAUUACUGGGCGUAAAGCGUGCGCAGGCGGCGCUGUAAGACAGAUGUGAAAUCCCCGGGCUCAACCUGGGAACUGCAUUUGUGACUGCAGUGCUAGAGUGUGUCAGAGGGGGGUGGAAUUCCACGUGUAGCAGUGAAAUGCGUAGAGAUGUGGAGGAACACCGAUGGCGAAGGCAGCCCCCUGGGAUAACACUGACGCUCAGGCACGAAAGCGUGGGGAGCAAACAGGAUUAGAUACCCUGGUAGUCCACGCCCUAAACUAUGUCUACUAGUUGUCGGGGAUUUAUUUCCUUGGUAACGCAGCUAACGCGUGAAGUAGACCGCCUGGGGAGUACGGCCGCAAGGUUAAA